RNAcentral lists this ribosomal RNA (445 nucleotides) under uncultured bacterium. RNAcentral describes it as "partial 16S ribosomal RNA". It matches the Rfam family "Bacterial small subunit ribosomal RNA", at positions 354 to 796 of the family's 1533-position model. The record is from RNAcentral.
GUGAGGAAUAUUGGUCAAUGGGCGGGAGCCUGAACCAGCCAAGUCGCGUGAAGGAAGAAGGAUCUAUGGUUCGUAAACUUCUUUUGCAGGGGAAUAAAGUGCGGGACGUGUCCUGUUUUGUAUGUACCCUGAGAACAAGGAUCGGCUAACUCCGUGCCAGCAGCCGCGGUAAUACGGAGGAUCCGAGCGUUAUCCGGAUUUAUUGGGUUUAAAGGGUGCGUAGGUGGUUUGAUAAGUCAGCGGUGAAAGUUUGCAGCUUAACUGUAAAAAUGCCGUUGAAACUGUCGGACUUGAGUGUAAAUGAGGUAGGCGGAAUGCGUGGUGUAGCGGUGAAAUGCAUAGAUAUCACGCAGAACUCCGAUUGCGAAGGCAGCUUACUAAGCUACAACUGACACUGAAGCACGAAAGCGUGGGGAUCAAACAGGAUUAGAUACCCUUGUAGUCC